RNAcentral lists this small RNA (176 nucleotides) under Mycobacterium saskatchewanense. RNAcentral describes it as "Actinobacteria sRNA Ms_IGR-5". It matches the Rfam family "Actinobacteria sRNA Ms_IGR-5". The record is from Rfam by way of RNAcentral. Lineage: Bacteria; Bacillati; Actinomycetota; Actinomycetes; Mycobacteriales; Mycobacteriaceae.
ACACAAGGAAGGAGGUGGUCCGCGAAUUGAUAGCUUCAUGGACAUGUGAGGUGGCUGCGCGCUAGCAGCAGUGACUCGGAAGACCCGGCCAAUUGCGCUGGCGAAUUCCCCGCAGUCACCCGGCCCCCGAGCUUCCGGUCUGUCCAACCUGGAGCUUUGCUCGGGGGCCGUCCCAU